GUGGGUAGGGGUGAAAGGCCAAUCAAACUCCGUGAUAGCUGGUUCUCCCCGAAAUGCAUUUAGGUGCAGCGUUGCGUGGUCCCUGGUGGAGGUAGAGCUACUGGAUGGCCGAUGGGCCCUGUGGGUUACUGACGUCAGCCAAACUCCGAAUGCCAUCAGGGUCGAGCGCGGCAGUGAGACCGCGGGGGAUAAGCUCCGUGGUCGAGAGGGAAACAGCCCGGACCGCCGGCUAAGGCCCCUAAGCGUGCGCUAAGUGGGAAAGGAUGUGGAGUCGCGGUGACAACCAGGAGGUUGGCUUAGAAGCAGCCAUCCUUGAAAGAGUGCGUAAUAGCUCACUGGUCAAGUGGUUCUGCGCCGACAAUGUAGCGGGGCUCAAGCGCACCGCCGAAGCCGUGGCAGCAGCGCUUUUCGCCCUCCUCCCCCCUGUUGGAUGGGGUGGUGGGUGCGCUGCUGGGUAGGGGAGCGUCCUGCGCGGGGCGAAGCCCGGGGGUGACCCCUGGUGGACCGCGUGGGAGUGAGAAUGCAGGCAUGAGUAACGAAUUCUGCGGUGGGAAUCCGCAGCGCCGAUUGACUAAGGGUUCCAGGGCCAGGUUCAUCCGCCCUGGGUUAGUCGGGUCCUAAGGCGAGGCCGACAGGCGUAGUCGAUGGUCGACCAGUUGAUAUUCUGGUACCGCGCGGCGACCGCCAGUGCCGAUACCGCUGUGCUAACCGCCCGCACCGCCCCCUCCUGCGCUUUCGGGCGCGGGGGCGGGGGGUGUCGCGGGGCCCCGGUGGUGGAGGCAAGCGUGUUGACAGGGGUGACGCAGGAAGGUAGCCGCAAUGCGCCGGUGGUUGUGCGUAUUCAAGGCUGUGGCCCGUCCCCCAGGCAAAUCCGGGGGGCAUGUGGGUGAGGGCUGAGGAGGGACACACGCGUGUGUGGACUUGUGGUGAUCCUAUGCUGCCGAGAAAAACCCCGACGUGAGGGCGCCGCGCGCCCGUACCCCAAACCGACUCAGGUGGUCAGGUAGAGCAUACCGAGGCGUUCGAGUGAAUCAUGGUUAAGGAACUCGGCAAAAUUCCUCCGUAACUUCGGGAUAAGGAGGACCCCUUGGCCUCCUCCCGCCGCGCGCGGGGGCGGGGCCGGGGGGUCGCAGAGAAUAGGGAGAAGCGACUGUUUAUCAAAAACACAGGUGCGUGCGAAGCCGCAAGGCGAUGUAUACGCACUGACGCCUGCCCGGUGCUGGAAGGUCAAGAGGAGCCCUCAGCCCCCUGCGGGGGGCGAAGGGGCGAAUUCAAGCCCCAGUAAACGGCGGUGGUAACUAUAACCAUCCUAAGGUAGCGAAAUUCCUUGUCGGGUAAGUUCCGACCUGCACGAAUGGCGUAACGACUUCUCCGCUGUCUCAACCGUGAACUCGGUGAAAUUGCAGUACGAGUAAAGAUGCUCGUUUCGCGCAGAAGGACGGAAAGACCCCGGGACCUUUACUACAGCUUGGUAUUGGCGCCCGCUAUAGCUUGUGCAGGAUAGGUGGGAGACGUUGAAGCCGUUACGCCAGUAGCGGUGGAGUCGUCCUUGAAAUACCACUCUGGUUAUGGCGUGCGCCUGAACCUGGGCCCGUGAUCCGGGUCAGGGACAGUGCCUGGUGGGUAGUUUAACUGGGGCGGUUGCCUCCUAAAAGGUAACGGAGGCGCUCAAAGGUCCCCUCAGCCUGGUUGGCAAUCAGGUGGCGAGUGCAAGUGCACAAGGGGGCUUGACUGUGAGACCGACGGGUCGAGCAGGUGCGAAAGCAGGAACUAGUGAUCCGGCCAUGGCACGUGGGUGCGUGGUCGCUCAACGGAUAAAAGGUACCCCGGGGAUAACAGGCUGAUCUUGCCCAAGAGUCCAUAUCGACGGCAUGGUUUGGCACCUCGAUGUCGGCUCGUCGCAUCCUGGGGCUGGAGUAGGUCCCAAGGGUUGGGCUGUUCGCCCAUUAAAGCGGUACGCGAGCUGGGUUCAGAACGUCGUGAGACAGUUCGGUCCCUAUCCUCUGCGCGCGCAGGAAACUUGAUGGAGGGCCGUCCCCAGUACGAGAGGACCGGGAUGGACGAACCUCUGGUGUGCCAGUUGUACCGCCAGGUGCACGGCUGGUUGGCCACGUUCGGAAAGGAUAACCGCUGAAAGCAUCUAAGCGGGAAGCCCGCUCCGAGAUGAGGUUUCCACGCCCCAACAAGGGGUGAGAGGCCCCCGCCAGAACAGCGGGUCGAUAGGCCAGAGGUGGAAGCGCCGCGAGGCGCUCGCGAGCCGACUGGUACUAAUGGGCCGACACCACACCA
RNAcentral lists this ribosomal RNA (2289 nucleotides) under human oral metagenome. RNAcentral describes it as "bacterial LSU rRNA". It matches the Rfam family "Bacterial large subunit ribosomal RNA", at positions 811 to 2925 of the family's 2925-position model. The record is from RNAcentral.